UACGUAGGGCGCGAGCGUUGUCCGGAAUUAUUGGGCGUAAAGAGCUUGUAGGCGGUUUGUCGCGUCUGCUGUGAAAUUCCAGGGCUUAACCCUGGGCUUGCAGUGGGUACGGGCAGACUAGAGUGUGGUAGGGGAGACUGGAAUUCCUGGUGUAGCGGUGAAAUGCGCAGAUAUCAGGAGGAACACCAAUAGCGAAGGCAGCUCGCUGGGACGGUACUGACGCUAAGGCGCGAAAGCGUGGGGAGCGAACAGG
This 253-nucleotide ribosomal RNA is filed under the name uncultured bacterium. RNAcentral describes it as "partial 16S ribosomal RNA". It matches the Rfam family "Bacterial small subunit ribosomal RNA", at positions 524 to 776 of the family's 1533-position model. The record is from RNAcentral.